RNAcentral lists this ribosomal RNA (496 nucleotides) under uncultured Glomeromycotina. RNAcentral's name for it is "partial small subunit ribosomal RNA". It matches the Rfam family "Eukaryotic small subunit ribosomal RNA", at positions 591 to 1092 of the family's 1831-position model. Lineage: Eukaryota; Fungi; Glomeromycota. The record is from RNAcentral.
CCAAUAGCGUAUAUUAAAGUUGUUGCAGUUAAAAAGCUCGUAGUUGAAUUUUGGGUUUGGCCGAUUGGUCCGUUCUUGUAACGAGUACUGGUCGGUCGGGCCUCACCGCCUGGUGAUACGUAAUGCCCUUUAUUGGGUGUUGCGAGUAGCCAGGACCUUUACCUUGAAAAAAUUAGAGUGUUUAAAGCAGGCUUAUGCCGGAAUACAUUAGCAUGGAAUAAUAGAAUAGGACGAUGAUUCUAUUUUGUUGGUUUCUAGGAGCAUCGUAAUGAUUAAUAGGGAUAGUUGGGGGCAUUAGUAUUCAAUUGUCAGAGGUGAAAUUCUUGGAUUUAUUGAAGACUAACUACUGCGAAAGCAUUUGCCAAGGAUGUUUUCAUUAAUCAAGAACGAAAGUUAGGGGAUCGAAGACGAUCAGAUACCGUCGUAGUCUUAACCAUAAACUAUGCCGACUAGGGAUCGGGCGAUGUUGUUUCAAUGACUCGCUCGGCACCUUAUG